GAUGCACACCAACUCUCAGCAUUAACCCAUCCAGUACAGGGGAAAACACAAACAGAGCUUGCACACUCGGAAGUCGACCGGCGCACAGCAUGAGUCACGGAGUAUCACAACCUGCCCUUAACUUGGGGAUAACCCGUAGAAAGACGGCACUAAUACCCAAUGAUAUUCAUCGAUGACAUAUCAUUUGAAUUCAAGAUUUAUCGGAUCGGAGGGGAUGCGUCAGAUUAGCUAGUUGGUGAGGUAACGGCUCACCAAGGCCCCAAUCAGUAGGGGUUCUGAGAGGAAGGUCCCCCACAUUGGAACUGAGACAAGGUCCAAACUCCUACGGGAGGCAGCAGUGAGGCAUAUUGGUCAAUAGACGAGAGUCUGAACCAGCCAAGUAGCGUGCAGGAUGACGGCCCUAUGGGUUGUAAACUGCUUUUGUUUGGGAAUAAUCGACAUUACGUGUAAUGUUUUGCAUGUACCAUUCGAAUAAGGACCGGCUAAUUCCGUGCCAGCAGCCGCGGUAAUACGGAAGGUCCAGGCGUUAUCCGGAUUUAUUGGGUUUAAAGGGAGUGUAGGCGGUUGGUUAAGCGUGUUGUGAAAUGUAGAUGCUCAACAUCUGACUUGCAGCGCGAACUGGCUGACUUGAGUACACACAACGUAGGCGGAAUUCAUGGUGUAGCGGUGAAAUGCUUAGAUAUCAUGAAGAACUCCGAUUGCGAAGGCAGCUUACGGGAGUGUUACUGACGCUUAAGCUCGAAGGUGCGGGUAUCGAACAGG
RNAcentral lists this ribosomal RNA (762 nucleotides) under uncultured Prevotella sp. RNAcentral describes it as "bacterial SSU rRNA". It matches the Rfam family "Bacterial small subunit ribosomal RNA", at positions 28 to 776 of the family's 1533-position model. Lineage: Bacteria; Pseudomonadati; Bacteroidota; Bacteroidia; Bacteroidales; Prevotellaceae. The record is from RNAcentral.